UGGCAAGAAAGAGGUAGACCUGUGAUGGU
RNAcentral lists this non-coding RNA (29 nucleotides) under Rattus norvegicus (Norway rat). The record is from RNAcentral. Lineage: Eukaryota; Metazoa; Chordata; Mammalia; Rodentia; Muridae.